UUCCGGUUGAUCCUGCCGGAGGCUACCGCUAUUGGAGUUCGAUUAAGCCAUGCGAGUCGAGAGUCCUCGGGACUCGGCGUACCGCUCAGUAACACGUGGGUAACCUGCCCUAUGCUGGGGAAUAACCUCGGGAAACUGAGAAUAAUGCCCCAUAGCCCACUACGCCUGGAACGGUGAGUGGGUCAAAGCCCCGGCGGCAUAGGAUGGGCCUGCGCCGUAUCAGGUUGUAGGGGGUGUAAAGUACCCUCUAGCCAUCAACGCGUACGGGUGUUGGGAGACAUUGCCCGGAGAUGGAUUCUGAGACACGAAUCCAGACCCUACGGGGUGCAGCAGGCGCGAAAACUUGGCAAUGCGAGAAAUCGUGACCAGGGAACUCCAAGUGCGUAGGGUAAGACCUACGCUUUUCUUGACUCUUCAAAGGUCUUGGAAUAAGGGGUGGGUAAGGACGGUGCCAGCCGCCGCGGUAAUACCGGCGCCUCAAGUGGUAGUCGCUUUUAUUGGGCCUAAAACGUCCGUAGCCGGUCUGGUGCAUUCGUGGGUAAAUCAACCCGCUCAACGGGUUGAAUUCUGCGAGCACGGCCAGACUUGGGACCGGGAGAGGUGUGGGGUACUCUCAGGGUAGGGGUAAAAUCCUGUCAUCCUGAGAGGACCACCUGUUGCGAAGGCGCCACACUAGAACGGAUCCGACGGUCAGGGACGAAACCUAGGGGCACGAACCGGAUUAGAUACCCGGGUAGUCCUAGGUGUAAACGCUGUGGACUUGAUGUUGGGGGCGCUCCGAGCGCUCUCAGUGUCGAAGCGAAGGUGAUAAGUCCA
This 816-nucleotide ribosomal RNA is filed under the name uncultured archaeon. RNAcentral's name for it is "bacterial SSU rRNA". It matches the Rfam family "Archaeal small subunit ribosomal RNA", at positions 1 to 823 of the family's 1478-position model. The record is from RNAcentral.